This 460-nucleotide ribosomal RNA is filed under the name uncultured bacterium. RNAcentral describes it as "partial 16S ribosomal RNA". It matches the Rfam family "Bacterial small subunit ribosomal RNA", at positions 338 to 795 of the family's 1533-position model. The record is from RNAcentral.
CCUACGGGGGGCAGCAGUGAGGAAUAUUGGUCAAUGGACGAGAGUCUGAACCAGCCAAGUAGCGUGAAGGAUGACUGCCCUAUGGGUUGUAAACUUCUUUUAUAUGGGAAUAAAACGUUCCACGUGUGGGAUUUUGUAUGUACCAUAUGAAUAAGGAUCGGCUAACUCCGUACCAGCAGCCGCGGUAAUACGGAGGAUCCGAGCGUUAUCCGGAUUUAUUGGGUUUAAAGGGAGCGUAGGUGGAUUGUUAAGUCAGUUGUGAAAGUUUGCGGCUCAACCGUAAAAUUGCAGUUGAAACUGGCAGUCUUGAGUACAGUAGAGGUGGGCGGAAUUCGUGGUGUAGCGGUGAAAUGCUGAGAUAUCACGAAGAACUCCGAUUGCGAAGGCAGUUCACUGGACUGCAACUGACACUGAGGCUCGAAAGUGUGGGUAUCAAACAGGAUUAGAUACCCGAGUAGUC